RNAcentral lists this ribosomal RNA (305 nucleotides) under uncultured bacterium. RNAcentral's name for it is "bacterial SSU rRNA". It matches the Rfam family "Bacterial small subunit ribosomal RNA", at positions 334 to 653 of the family's 1533-position model. The record is from RNAcentral.
UUCUCCUACGGGACGCAGCAGUGGGGAAUAUUGGGCAAUGGGCGCAAGCCUGACCCAGCAACGCCGCGUGAAGGAAGAAGGCUUUCGGGUUGUAAACUUCUUUUAAGAGGGAAGAGAAGAAGACGGUACCUCUUGAAUAAGCCACGGCUAACUACGUGCCAGCAGCCGCGGUAAUACGUAGGGGGCAAGCGUUAUCCGGAUUUACUGGGUGUAAAGGGAGCGUAGGUGGCAUGGCAAGCCAGAAGUGAAAACCCGGGGCUUAACCCCGCGGAUUGCUUUUGGAACUGUCAGGCUGGAGUGCAGGG